UCGAGUGGCUGAAGAGGCACGCCUGGAAAGCGUGUAUUCCCCUAAAGGGAAUCGGGGGUUCGAAUCCCCCUCUUUCC
Molecule: transfer RNA, 77 nt
Filed under: Caudoviricetes sp.
Lineage: Duplodnaviria; Heunggongvirae; Uroviricota; Caudoviricetes
Description: tRNA-Leu
Rfam family: tRNA
About the family: Transfer RNA (tRNA) molecules are approximately 80 nucleotides in length. Their secondary structure includes four short double-helical elements and three loops (D, anti-codon, and T loops). Further hydrogen bonds mediate the characteristic L-shaped molecular structure. tRNAs have two regions of fundamental functional importance: the anti-codon, which is responsible for specific mRNA codon recognition, and the 3' end, to which the tRNAs corresponding amino acid is attached (by aminoacyl-tRNA synthetases). tRNAs cope with the degeneracy of the genetic code in two manners: having more than one tRNA (with a specific anti-codon) for a particular amino acid; and 'wobble' base-pairing, i.e. permitting non-standard base-pairing at the 3rd anti-codon position.
Source: RNAcentral